RNAcentral lists this unclassified non-coding RNA (339 nucleotides) under soil metagenome. Its description in RNAcentral is "partial contains 5.8S ribosomal RNA, internal transcribed spacer 2, and large subunit ribosomal RNA". The stretch from base 1 to 120 matches the Rfam family "5.8S ribosomal RNA", at positions 35 to 154 of the family's 154-position model. The record is from RNAcentral.
GAUGAAGAACGUAGCGAAAUGCGAUAAGUAAUGUGAAUUGCAGAAUUCCGUGAAUCAUCGAAUCUUUGAACGCACAUUGCGCCCGCCAGUAUUCUGGCGGGCAUGCCUGUUCGAGCGUCAUUUCAACCAUCAAGCCCCCCGGCUUGUGUUGGGGACCUGCGGCUGCCGCAGGCCCUGAAAUCCAGUGGCGGGCUCGCCGUAGCACCGAGCGUAGUAGCGCACUUCUCGCUCCGGUAGCAGCGGCGGGCGCUUGCCGUAAAACCCCCCCUAAAAUCUCAAGGUUGACCUCGGAUCAGGUAGGAAUACCCGCUGAACUUAAGCAUAUCAAUAAGCGGAGGA